Long non-coding RNA from Musa acuminata AAA Group (dessert banana), 875 nucleotides. RefSeq lists it as uncharacterized. The record is from RefSeq and is a predicted model, not a curated record. The transcript has 2 exons. NCBI's taxonomy places the organism in Eukaryota, Viridiplantae, Streptophyta, Magnoliopsida, Zingiberales, Musaceae.
AAGGUUUUUGAUUCUUGUAUCACAAUUUUUUACAUAUAUCACAUAAUUAUCAAACAGUACAAGUUGAAAGUAGUGCAUACAUGCUUUCGAGGUGUAAUCAGUACACUGUAGAUGAUGUAAUCAUCAAUCUUGUUCUUGAGCGCUAAUGAGAAAGGCUGAGAUCGACUGAAUUCUCUUCCUCCCCCACUUUGUUCAUCUCCUUCUGAUCUCUUCUUUCUUCCUCUUUCAAAGCACUCGAUGCUGUGUCCACCACGGUACCGGGUUUCUCCCAGCCCUUGAAGUCCUCCAACUUGAAGGUCGGUCGCCAUAGCGGCGACGCAGCCUUCUUCUGCCGCUUGCUUUCAUCUGUUCUGAUGAGAUCUCUCAUGGCUCUGAUGCUUCCAACCAACGAAUAAAACUUCUCCAUCUCUUGUUGUUGCUCAUCUGCUUCAGUAGUAGUUGAGGUUGGAGUCGGUGAUGUGGCUGGCGAUGGCCUCUUUCUUCUGCCACUUCCUUUCUCCAUUGCCUCGACUAAGAAAUCUAAAGAUCAGGGGAAGAAAGGGUUGUUGUUGGAAUGCUCUAUCUCUUCGUAGGACUAAGGAUGGAUAGUGGAAGCAGUGAACAUAUAAAAGAGAGGCCACUUCCAGAAUUCCAAGCAAGUAGAAGCUCCGAAAAAGAAAGGCUGGCUCUCAAUUCUUUCCAUGGAUCUACCAAGUGCUGUGCUGCUUUCUACAUGUAAUGUGGACUUCUGGUGAUUGGAACUUUUUGUCCAACAAGGUUGUAUUCAUUUCUUUCUUGGCUUCAAUUUGUUCCUGUAGUUGGAUGCCUGGUCCUUGUAAAGGGACCAGGUUAAUAGUGCUAUCGAAACCUCUAUCUUAUUAAAACUAUCUAACCAA